GAUGAACGCUAGCGGCAGGCUUAAUACAUGCAAGUCGAACGGGAUUGAGAAGCUUGCUUUUCAUGAGAGUGGCGCACGGGUGCGUAACACGUAUGCAACCUGCCUUGUCCAGGGGGAUAGCCCGUUGAAAGACGGAUUAGGACCGCAUAACAUCAUUGAAUGGCAUCGUUUAAUGAUCAAAUAUUUAUAGGGACAAGAUGGGCAUGCGUCUGGUUAGCUAGUUGGCGGGGUAAUGGCCCACCAAGGCGACGAUCAGUAGGGGAUCUGAGAGGAUGACCCCCCACACUGGUACUGAGACACGGACCAGACUCCUACGGGAGGCAGCAGUAAGGAAUAUUGGUCAAUGGGCGCAAGCCUGAACCAGCCAUGCCGCGUGCAGGAAGACGGCCCUACGGGUUGUAAACUGCUUUUAUACGGGAAUAACCCCGGUUUCGUGAAACCGGCUGAAUGUACCGUAAGAAUAAGGAUCGGCUAACUCCGUGCCAGCAGCCGCGGUAA
RNAcentral lists this ribosomal RNA (498 nucleotides) under uncultured bacterium. RNAcentral describes it as "partial 16S ribosomal RNA". It matches the Rfam family "Bacterial small subunit ribosomal RNA", at positions 28 to 523 of the family's 1533-position model. The record is from RNAcentral.